This 756-nucleotide long non-coding RNA is filed under the name Lupinus angustifolius (narrow-leaved blue lupine). RNAcentral's name for it is "long non-coding RNA (LANG_LNC000130)". The record is from RNAcentral. Lineage: Eukaryota; Viridiplantae; Streptophyta; Magnoliopsida; Fabales; Fabaceae.
ACUCUCUCUCAUAUAUUUGUCUCUCUUUCACCACCUUCCAUCAUCACCCUCUCAAUUCUUCUCUCCACGCCUUACCUUCUAUGAUCUCUCUCUCUCACACAAAACACACUUUCCUACUAUAAUAAUACUAACCCAAUAGAGUCCUUUUGUUUCUGAAUUUUAGCACCAAAUGGGUCUCGAAAAGUUAGAUGAUUUUGGACCAAUUAUGCCUAUAAAAACCGUUGCUACUGCUACAAAAACCUUCAGCCACCGCACGGAACUAUUGGAUCUAGAGACAAAAAAUGAGGUAAAGGAGGAAGAACAAGAAGAGUGUCACACACCAACAUCACCAUCUCAAAUAUUGAAGACCCCAUUGGUUUGUCCACCACCUCCAAAGAAACCACGUGUAGCUAGAAGAAGUGAUGAUGGAAUUGCACCUUCUCAAGGGUUCAUUCAAGUGUCUCACGAUUUGGCUUCUGUCUUUUUUCUGCAACACAAACCCAACAUCAGAGAAACCUCUUUGCUUACCACAUCGUUUUCUUGAGCAGUGGUAUAUAUCAAACAUAUAUAUUUUAACUUAUUAAUUAUGCACCACAUUAUAGUUGUUUUUAUCUUCCUCUCUUUGUUAGUAGCAUCUUUACUAUGUUGUUUUGUUUUGAAUAUUUCAUGUGUAGAACUAGAAACUAAUCAAGUAGUUGUAAAUGGUGCAUGACGAAUCCAUUAUUUGUUUAAUUUAAACGCUUGUAUCUAUAGUUACAAAAUGUAGUAUUAAGCGGG